Molecule: ribosomal RNA, 491 nt
Filed under: uncultured bacterium
Lineage: Bacteria
Description: partial 16S ribosomal RNA
Rfam family: Bacterial small subunit ribosomal RNA
Source: RNAcentral
AGUGAACGCUGGCGGUAGGCCUAACACAUGCAAGUCGAACGGCAGCACAGUAAGAGCUUGCUCUUACGGGUGGCGAGUGGCGGACGGGUGAGGAAUACAUCGGAAUCUACUUUUUCGUGGGGGAUAACGUAGGGAAACUUACGCUAAUACCGCAUACGACCUACGGGUGAAAGCAGGGGAUCUUCGGACCUUGCGCGAUUGAAUGAGCCGAUGUCGGAUUAGCUAGUUGGCGGGGUAAAGGCCCACCAAGGCGACGAUCCGUAGCUGGUCUGAGAGGAUGAUCAGCCACACUGGAACUGAGACACGGUCCAGACUCCUACGGGAGGCGGAAGUGGGGAAUAUUGGACAAAGGGCGCAAGCCUGAUCCAGCCAUACCGCGUGGGUGAAGAAGGCCUGCGGGUUGUAAAGCCCUUUUGUUGUGAAAGAAAAGCAGCAGGUUAAUACCCCGCUGUUCUGACGGUACCCAAAGAAUAAGCACCGGCUAACUUCGU